UAGGGAAUCUUCGGCAAUGGGGGGAACCCUGACCGAGCAACGCCGCGUGAGUGAAGAAGGUUUUCGGAUCGUAAAGCUCUGUUGUUAAGGAAGAACGAGUGUGAGAAUGGAAAGUUCAUGCUGUGACGGUACUUAACCAGAAAGGGACGGCUAACUACGUGCCAGCAGCCACGGUAAUACGUAGGUCCCGAGCGUUGUCCGGAUUUAUUGGGCGUAAAGCGAGCGCAGGCGGUUAGAAAAGUCUGAAGUGAAAGGCAGUGGCUCAACCAUUGUAGGCUUUGGAAACUGUUUAACUUGAGUGCAGAAGGGGAGAGUGGAAUUCCAUGUGUAGCGGUGAAAUGCGUAGAUAUAUGGAGGAACACCGGUGGCGAAAGCGGCUCUCUGGUCUGUAACUGACGCUGAGGCUCGAAAGCGUGGGGAGCGAACAGG
Molecule: ribosomal RNA, 429 nt
Filed under: Bacteroidota bacterium
Lineage: Bacteria; Pseudomonadati; Bacteroidota
Description: Bacteroidetes bacterium partial 16S ribosomal RNA
Rfam family: Bacterial small subunit ribosomal RNA
Source: RNAcentral